GACGAACGCUGGCGGCGUGCUUAACACAUGCAAGUCGAACGGAAAGGCCCUGCUUUUGUGGGGUGCUCGAGUGGCGAACGGGUGAGUAACACGUGAGUAACCUGCCCUUGACUUUGGGAUAACUUCAGGAAACUGGGGCUAAUACCGGAUAGGAGCUCCUGCUGCAUGGUGGGGGUUGGAAAGUUUCGGCGGUUGGGGAUGGACUCGCGGCUUAUCAGCUUGUUGGUGGGGUAGUGGCUUACCAAGGCUUUGACGGGUAGCCGGCCUGAGAGGGUGACCGGCCACAUUGGGACUGAGAUACGGCCCAGACUCCUACGGGAGGCAGCAGUGGGGAAUAUUGCACAAUGGGCGGAAGCCUGAUGCAGCAACGCCGCGUGCGGGAUGACGGCCUUCGGGUUGUAAACCGCUUUCGCCUGUGACGAGGCGUGAGUGACGGUAAUGGGUAAAGAAGCACCAGCUAACUACGUG
Molecule: ribosomal RNA, 468 nt
Filed under: uncultured bacterium
Lineage: Bacteria
Description: partial 16S ribosomal RNA
Rfam family: Bacterial small subunit ribosomal RNA
Source: RNAcentral